This 511-nucleotide ribosomal RNA is filed under the name uncultured bacterium. Its description in RNAcentral is "partial 16S ribosomal RNA". It matches the Rfam family "Bacterial small subunit ribosomal RNA", at positions 28 to 523 of the family's 1533-position model. The record is from RNAcentral.
GACGAACGCUGGCGGCGUGCCUAAUACAUGCAAGUCGAGCGAAUCAGUGGGAGCUUGCUCCCUGAGAUUAGCGGCGGACGGGUGAGUAACACGUGGGUAACCUGCCUGUAAGACUGGGAUAACUUCGGGAAACCGGAGCUAAUACCGGAUACGUUCUUUUCUCGCAUGAGGAGAGAUGGAAAGAUGGUUCUGCUAUCACUUACAGAUGGACCCGCGGCGCAUUAGCUAGUUGGUGAGGUAACGGCUCACCAAGGCGACGAUGCGUAGCCGACCUGAGAGGGUGAGCGGCCACACUGGGACUGAGACACGGCCCAGACUCCUACGGGAGGCAGCAGUAGGGAAUCUACCGCAAUGGACGAAAGUCUGGCGGAGCAACGCCGCGUGAGCGAAGAAGGCCUUCGGGUCGUAAAGCUCUGUUGUUAGGGAAGAACAAGUACGAGAGUAACUGCUCGUACCUUGACGGUACCUAACCAGAAAGCCACGGCUAACUACGUGCCAGCCGCCGCAGUAA